AAUAAAAAUUUAUUAAGUAAAAUUCUUAUUUCUAAAAUUAAAUAAUAUGUUUAAAAUAUGUUUUUUAAGUAAAAUUUAUAUUGGGUUCAUAUAAUUUGGUGAUAUUAAUAAACAACAUACAUUAUUAUAAUUAAAUAUGUUUUUAUAUAUUUUAAAUGCAAAUGCUCUACUAAAAACUUAAUAUGAAAGCAUCGGUUGCUCAAAAGAAAAAUGAAAGUAUUGGAUAAAAAGUAUUUAGAGAGUAUUUGUAUUUCCUAAAUAUUUAGAUGAUUUCGUAGUAUUUACUGAUUGAAUAAUAAGGAUCAUAACGCCAAUGGUAGUGAUAUACCAAUCAAGCCCUAUGGUAUUUGGUUGGACUUGGUUAUUUCUAGACCAAUCGAGGAAACGUGUAUAUCUCUUUGAAAAAUAUAAAAUAAAAUAAAAAAUUGAUAGCAACAGUACAAAAAAAGGUCUCAUUUGUCACACGAGGAAGAAAUACAAGAGAGAGCGCGGGAAAAAAAGGAGACGGUUGCUAAUUUUGUUGCGAGCUCUAGAAAUGCAGACGAUAGGGAUUCCAGCGACGAAGAGCUUGGAUCAGAUUCGAUCGAUGGCUGGAUCAGAUUUGAAGGAUCCCUCCUUCUGCUCGCGUCAAUCUCAGGAUUCCGUCUCUUAGGGCAAUUUCUCAAAUCUGAAGUUCACUGCAGAGACAUUGGAGAAGGAACAGGCGUCUAUGAAAUCCGAUCUCGAAUUGGCGGUACUUCGAUUGCUUUUCCCGUUUUCAUCCCUACGAACUUAAGUUUGAUCCAUGUGCUUAAGAGGUAUGUAUGGUGUUGUUGAUAGCCUAGGAUUGUGCUUCUUCGAUCCGGAUCUCUGCUUAGUAUUCCGAUUCCUUAUCACGUUCUCUUCUUGCUUUCCGCGUUUAUAUAAACUCAAGUUUGAUCCAUGAGCUUAAGAGGUGUGUUUAGUGUUGUUGCUAGCUUAGGAUUGUGCUUCUUUGAGUCGGAUCUAUACUAGCUUAAAUUUGAUCCAUGUGCUUAAGCGGUGUGUAUGGUGUUGUAUCUAGCCUAGGAUUAUGCUUCUUCUGAGUCAGAUCUAUACAAGCUCAAGUUUUAUCCAUGUGGUUAAGAGGUCUGUAUGAUGUGUUGCUAGGAUUGUGUUUCUUCUUGCAGUUCUAUCGGAUCUCUGUUUAGUUUUGUGCAGUCUUUGCUUGUUUUAGAGUUAUUGUUAACUUGUUUGUAUUUGAUCAUCUGUUUCCAGAUGCAGAACUACUCUAAGCUGAAAAAAUCAGUGGAUUAUAUACUUGCUUUAGAGGAAAAACUGCAGAAUGCUUCCAAUGAGAAUGCUAAGCUCAGGCUGAUGCAAAAGGAGGACGAAAAGCUUUCGAGAAGGAUGGAGUCCAAAUUUUCUCCAACCCAGACUCUGGCUGAUCAACUUACAGAGAAUCUCCAGCACUUGACUUCUCAGGUUCAAGAAGAAAACAGCUUUGGUGUUGCUCAGCUUCUGCCUUACCAGAUUUUGAGCAAAGAUGGCAAGCCAUACAUCAUGAAUUGCGAGACCAAGGUCUUCUCUCCUGAGGAGAUCACUGACAUGGUUCUGACCAAGGUGAAAGAGGGUAGGCGUGUAUGUAUGCCACCACUACCAGUACCCGUAUGUGAAGAUUCCUCCAGUGAUGACACCUAUGUGGCAAGUCUCUAAAUUUUGUUUUUCUAAAACCUUUGAUGUUGUCUAUUGUUUGUUUGAGAUUUUAGAGAAACUGAAACGUGAUUUUGUAGGAUGAGGAAUCUUGGUUGAAUAAGAAUGAUGCUGCUAAAGACACAGACGAUGAAGACUACGAACACUACGAAGACUACGAGGACUACGAAGCACCUGACGAGGAUAUUGAUAAGGCCUUAUACGAGGGAGGCGAUGCUGCUGGUAUUAUGAUGGAUUGUCCAGACAUUGCUCCCCUUCUAGAAAAGCUUCCCGCCGGUUUUGAGUAUCCUUUCUUGACGAAUGCAAUAGCAAGCGACCUUCUCGAUGAAACUAGGUUAAAAAUGGUGAUGGAAGCUCUACCAUCAACAAGUCGGUUAAUGCUCUUUCGCUGUCUAAACAGCAUGUACAUCUACUGGAAAAAGAAGUCUGUUCAUCUUAAGCAGUAUCUAACAUCAAGGUCACGUAGAAAAAGAGUACUUGUCGCGGCUGGUGAAGUUCGAAAUCAAUUAGACCAUCUUCUUUGUUGGGCAUAUUCAUCAAGCGACUUGGUAAGUGCUUCUCUUGUUCUACAUGGCCUGGAAAAGGAAUACUUCCCUCUGUGCCCCAUGUACCUGUGCGAGAAUGUAGAUCCAAGCCAACUUGAAUCCCAUGUAAUUGAAGAGGAAGAACACCGCUGCUAUGGCAGUAAUAUGCACUCGGCACUACUGUACAUAAAGAAGUAUGGGAUACCAAAGGAAGCGAGUAAGGAAUUCAACUGUAUGUUGGCAAGGGGAGUUGGUGCAGAUGAAAAGAGGUAUUACAUAAGUGAAGUUCUUAGGUUUCCUACUCUAGAGGCAGCUCUGAUGCGUCUUAAAACACAUCCUGUUGGUGCCACACUAGCUAUGUUCACUGGCUGCACUGAUGAAGGAAUUUACCGUGGGCCAAUGAAGGAGGGUUGAUGCAGCAUAAACCGACGUCCUCUUCCUUUUCUGAUUAGUAUUAGUAUUUUCCUUUUUCUUUUGUUGGCUUUCUUUUAUUUUUAGAUCAUACAUAUAUCCUUUUUUCUUGUUCAAAAAGGAAUAUGUGAUUCAUAUAUAAAUAGGCAUCGCUAGCUUGUAUGACGACACGAUUGAUUUUAUAAGAUAUUAAGUUUCUUUAAGAGCUUUAAACAAGCACUGCGAAGAGUAUUCGCGCCCACUAAGAGCUUUAACAAGCACUGCGAAGAGUAUUCACAUCCCUUUCAUUGUUAUCGAAGUUACCUUCGUUAACAAGUUACCGAAGUCGAGAUCAAACCCUAGAUCUUCGACUUAUACGGCUUCCGCCCUCUAUCAGUUGGUAUCAGAUUCAGUACGUUUCGGGAAAAAGAACUUCUUGUUUUAAUGACUAGGAAAACAGGAGGCGCUGGUGGUGACAUUCAGGACCAAAACCC
Molecule: RNA transcript, 3079 nt
Organism: Brassica napus (rape)
Lineage: Eukaryota; Viridiplantae; Streptophyta; Magnoliopsida; Brassicales; Brassicaceae
Exons: 3
Source: RefSeq, a predicted model, not a curated record